RNAcentral lists this long non-coding RNA (467 nucleotides) under Cicer arietinum (chickpea). RNAcentral's name for it is "long non-coding RNA (CARI_LNC002468)". Lineage: Eukaryota; Viridiplantae; Streptophyta; Magnoliopsida; Fabales; Fabaceae. The record is from RNAcentral.
AACUCUUCAAAGAAAGAACUUGUGCUUGUUACUAACUUCUCAAUAGCACUCUCCCAAGAAGCUUUUUGAGAUGGAGCUUGAUAUUUGCUUGAGCUCGUUGUUGACCUUGAAAUCCACCAUGUUGAUCUUUCCAUGAAAAAUUUUGAUGAUUUUUCCAACCCGGAUUGUACGUACUAGAUUAGGAGUUAUUCUGCUUCCCAUUGUUACCCAUAAAGUUCACCUUUUUUGGUUCUUUUGUAUCAUCAUCAUCUGGUACUUCACAAGCUCCAUUUUUAUGUGCUCCCCCACAAAAGCCACAACCAGUAUGUUUCAAUAAUUUGACAUGGGCCACUUAGUGUUGUAUAUUUAGAGCUGUCAUUCAGUUCUUUAUCUCAGCGGCGAUGACAUCUUCAAUUUGUUUUGAUAGGAGCUUCCCUUGAGACAACCCAACAUCCAGAACAUUCAAUUCUAGCAUAUCACUUUUUGAC